AGUGAACGCUGGCGGUAGGCCUAACACAUGCAAGUCGAACGGCAGCACAGAGGAGCUUGCUCCUUGGGUGGCGAGUGGCGGACGGGUGAGGAAUACAUCGGAAUCUACUCUGUCGUGGGGGAUAGCGUAGGGAAACUUACGCUAAUACCGCAUACGACCUACGGGUGAAAGCAGGGGACCUUCGGGCCUUGCGCGAUUGAAUGAGCCGAUGUCGGAUUAGCUAGUUGGCGGGGUAAAGGCCCACCAAGGCGACGAUCCGUAGCUGGUCUGGGAGGAUGAUCAGCAACACUGGAACGGGGACACGGUCCAGACUCCUACGGGAGGCAGCAGUGGGGAAUAUUGGACAAUGGGCGCAAGCCUGAUCCAGCCAUACCGCGUGGGUGAAGAAGGCCUUCGGGUUGUAAAGCCCUUUUGUUGGGAAAGAAAUCCAGCUGGCUAAUACCCGGUUGGGAUGACGGUACCCAAAGAAUAAGCACCGGCUAACUUCGUGCCAGCAGCCGCCGUAA
Molecule: ribosomal RNA, 506 nt
Filed under: uncultured bacterium
Lineage: Bacteria
Description: partial 16S ribosomal RNA
Rfam family: Bacterial small subunit ribosomal RNA
Source: RNAcentral